Long non-coding RNA from Terrapene triunguis (Three-toed box turtle), 362 nucleotides. RefSeq lists it as uncharacterized. Lineage: Eukaryota; Metazoa; Chordata; Testudines; Emydidae. The transcript is spliced from 3 exons. The record is from RefSeq and is a predicted model, not a curated record.
CCUGCCCCCAGGAGGCUGAGAGCAGCUGGGGUUCAGGCCUGGCAGGAUGGGGAGGGGCUGGUCCCUUCUCCUUCUUGGGCUCCUGCUGCAGGUCCAGUCUCCCUGUGCCGGGCAGGCCGGGGGGGCAGGGUCUAGCGUACCCCCCUGGCCAGCAGCAUCCAGCCCCACACCUCAGACCUGGGCUACAAGCGCUGAGACGCCCGCAGGGACUGGCACCCCCACCGAGGGGGCUACAGCACCAGAUGAGCCCAGCUGUGGCAGUGGGCAGCCCUGUCCCCCUUGGAGCACCUGCGUGUCCUGGGCUGGGCACUUCUCCUGCCGCUGCGCCCUGGGCUUCCAUCUCAGCCGGACCGCGGGCUGCG